Molecule: ribosomal RNA, 421 nt
Filed under: uncultured bacterium
Lineage: Bacteria
Description: bacterial SSU rRNA
Rfam family: Bacterial small subunit ribosomal RNA
Source: RNAcentral
AAUUUUGGACAAUGGGGGCAACCCUGAUCCAGCCAUUCCGCGUGAGUGAAGAAGGCCUUCGGGUUGUAAAGCUCUUUUGUCCGGAACGAAACGGUUAUGGCGAAUACCCAUGACUACUGACGGUACCGGAAGAAUAAGCACCGGCUAACUACGUGCCAGCAGCCGCGGUAAUACGUAGGUGGCGAGCGUUGUCCGGAUUUAUUGGGUUUAAAGGGUGCGUAGGCGGCCCCCUAAGUCAGUGCUGAAAUAUCCCGGCUUAACCGGGAGGGUGGCAUUGAUACUGAGGGGCUUGAGUAAAGUCGAGGUAGGCGGAAUUGACGGUGUAGCGGUGAAAUGCUUAGAUAUCGUCAAGAACACCGAUAGUGCAGACAGCUUACUAGGCUUUAACUGACGCUGAGGCACGAAAGUGUGGGGAUCAAAC